RNAcentral lists this long non-coding RNA (892 nucleotides) under Solanum lycopersicum (tomato). RNAcentral describes it as "long non-coding RNA (SLYC_LNC000448)". The record is from RNAcentral. Lineage: Eukaryota; Viridiplantae; Streptophyta; Magnoliopsida; Solanales; Solanaceae.
AAAAAACAAAAAAAAAAAACUUCUUCUACUCUUCGGCGUCUCCGACGGUUUCUUCCGCCGUAACGCCGCCGUCAGAUGCCGAAAUCUUCAGCUGAAAAAAAUCUGUAAUUCUCUCAAGAAUCUCAGUUUUCACUAUUCGAUUACCCUAAUUUUGGUUAAAGUUGAAUGAUGUACUUCUUUUGAGUUUGUCAUUUUACUUUGAAGUUUAAUUUUGAGAUCUGCUGCAAAUUUUGAGAUCAACAGUAUUUUUUUGCUGAUCUACGGAGAUUCGUAUGUCAGUCGGAUUUAGUCUCUGUAAGUCCACUUUGAUUCUCAUUUGAAAUUUCUUCUCCGAAAUCUAGCUAAGUUUUGUGCUAAUAUUGUCUAUUGUGUAUGAUUUUUUUUUUGAACUUUUGUGUUCGUUGUUGUUUAGAUCUUACUAGUAUAUUUGAAAUUAUGCAAUUAUUUUGUGUGAUUUUUUUGUUUGAAUUGAAAUUGAAUGUGAGUUGAAGUGUUUUGACUUGAAAUUGAAGAAGUUGAAAGGUGUCGGUUCUGUUGAAUUUGACAGAGUCAAUUGAUGACUUGAGCUGUAGUUCUUUCUGUACGGAGUAUGUGGUCUUUUGAAUAUAGAUUUAGAUCUGGAUAUUUAUUUCGAUGUAUAUAAUGGUUAAUGGAUUUAGCCUUGUUGGAUUUAUUAGUUAUUAUUUAAGGUUAGGAUAUUACUGAAAUGUUGAGUACUAUUGAAGGUCGAUCAGUGAGUUGAUUUCGAAUGAUGAAUUGUACAUUAAAGUAUUUCUCGUUUAAUUGCAGGCCUGUAACCAUGUAUUUUAUGCGAAUUGAGUUUUAUUUAUAAAAACCUGUGAGCUUUUGAAGGAUUUCGUAGGAAAAUCGGGCUGAAAUUCUGGAUUUAGAG